GAAAUAUGAAAUUCAAGAAAAAGCUGCUAACUUUUUUCUUUAGUGGUGAAAUUCCAUUAAUAUUUCU
Molecule: transfer RNA, 67 nt
Filed under: Hemerobius simulans
Lineage: Eukaryota; Metazoa; Arthropoda; Insecta; Neuroptera; Hemerobiidae
Also listed under: 1 other name
Description: tRNA-Ser
Source: RNAcentral